Long non-coding RNA from Lingula anatina, 976 nucleotides. The record is from RefSeq and is a predicted model, not a curated record. Lineage: Eukaryota; Metazoa; Brachiopoda; Lingulata; Lingulida; Lingulidae.
UAUUCAUUACUUGCUAUUCGACGCAUUUUUAGAACGAUAAGGCAGGAGUGUGUCUUGACAUGAAAUACAUGGUGCUCACAAAGCGUAAACCAUCAGAUACGACUUAAGCCUACAGUGUGCUGACGUGGAUAGAAGUGUUUCGCAGAAAGAAAAAGGGUCCACAGGAAUAUGGGAACCAUGUAGGGAUGAAAAGACGCUUUGCAAAAUGACCAAUGGAGAUGUAUUACUCGACCCAUUUCCCAGCGACGGUCGCAUCCCAACGGAUGAAGAGAUAGCCACUCGGUACAUGGCGCUUCCUCCACUACCCUAUGGGGGGACAGUGGCAAUAUAUGCAGUAGGAGCCUUCAACUACCACCCUCUCCUACGUAAAGACUCCGGACUCCUGACGUACUCCGUAUUUCGACAACUAUGGCCAAACGAAUUCCCAGAGUGCCAGAACCCUAGAAUAGAUUUCCAGGACAGGGACCAAGUUUCUCCAGCUGUGAUCAAGUUUAAGUAUAGGAAAGACUUGGAGACAAUCGUUGCAAGGGUGGAACCCGCUUUAUGGGUAGUUCUCAAUGAUAUAUUUUCCGAAUUCAUGAAAAGGAAAAAGAGGACGGGUGCUAGCGGUCUUCCUAUGGAGGAUGUUUACUUGGACGAUAGCAACCAGUGGUUGGCAAAUUUAUUAAACGCGUCUAAAGGAAUUCCUAUACGAUUUUAAGCGUUAAAUACGUUAACGCACCUGUAUGCACAUAUUUAUUUUAUUUUAUGAUGUAUAUACAUACAUGAAUUAAUUGUCUGUGAGUAUCGAAUUUCAUCAAUUUAACCAAAUUGGAUAUCAGUGCGUUCCACGUGCAAUAUCAAGUAUCCCUAUAGACAUCCUCUUACAUUGACUUGGCUGAUUUACUUUUAAAAAGUAUUUAAUUUCAUCCGUCACCUUAUCCACAGGAAAUCCCAAAAAUCACCCUGAGUUGUACAGUCUAUCAGUACAUGCGAU